This 1456-nucleotide ribosomal RNA is filed under the name Limosilactobacillus fermentum. Its description in RNAcentral is "bacterial SSU rRNA". It matches the Rfam family "Bacterial small subunit ribosomal RNA". Lineage: Bacteria; Bacillati; Bacillota; Bacilli; Lactobacillales; Lactobacillaceae. The record is from RNAcentral.
CUAUAAUGCAAGUCGAACGCGUUGGCCCAAUUGAUUGAUGGUGCUUGCACCUGAUUGAUUUUGGUCGCCAACGAGUGGCGGACGGGUGAGUAACACGUAGGUAACCUGCCCAGAAGCGGGGGACAACAUUUGGAAACAGAUGCUAAUACCGCAUAACANCGUUGUUCGCAUGAACAACGCUUAAAAGAUGGCUUCUCGCUAUCACUUCUGGAUGGACCUGCGGUGCAUUAGCUUGUUGGUGGGGUAACGGCCUACCAAGGCGAUGAUGCAUAGCCGAGUUGAGAGACUGAUCGGCCACAAUGGGACUGAGACACGGCCCAUACUCCUACGGGAGGCAGCAGUAGGGAAUCUUCCACAAUGGGCGCAAGCCUGAUGGAGCAACACCGCGUGAGUGAAGAAGGGUUUCGGCUCGUAAAGCUCUGUUGUUAAAGAAGAACACGUAUGAGAGUAACUGUUCAUACGUUGACGGUAUUUAACCAGAAAGUCACGGCUAACUACGUGCCAGCAGCCGCGGUAAUACGUAGGUGGCAAGCGUUAUCCGGAUUUAUUGGGCGUAAAGAGAGUGCAGGCGGUUUUCUAAGUCUGAUGUGAAAGCCUUCGGCUUAACCGGAGAAGUGCAUCGGAAACUGGAUAACUUGAGUGCAGAAGAGGGUAGUGGAACUCCAUGUGUAGCGGUGGAAUGCGUAGAUAUAUGGAAGAACACCAGUGGCGAAGGCGGCUACCUGGUCUGCAACUGACGCUGAGACUCGAAAGCAUGGGUAGCGAACAGGAUUAGAUACCCUGGUAGUCCAUGCCGUAAACGAUGAGUGCUAGGUGUUGGAGGGUUUCCGCCCUUCAGUGCCGGAGCUAACGCAUUAAGCACUCCGCCUGGGGAGUACGACCGCAAGGUUGAAACUCAAAGGAAUUGACGGGGGCCCGCACAAGCGGUGGAGCAUGUGGUUUAAUUCGAAGCUACGCGAAGAACCUUACCAGGUCUUGACAUCUUGCGCCAACCCUAGAGAUAGGGCGUUUCCUUCGGGAACGCAAUGACAGGUGGUGCAUGGUCGUCGUCAGCUCGUGUCGUGAGAUGUUGGGUUAAGUCCCGCAACGAGCGCAACCCUUGUUACUAGUUGCCAGCAUUAAGUUGGGCACUCUAGUGAGACUGCCGGUGACAAACCGGAGGAAGGUGGGGACGACGUCAGAUCAUCAUGCCCCUUAUGACCUGGGCUACACACGUGCUACAAUGGACGGUACAACGAGUCGCGAACUCGCGAGGGCAAGCAAAUCUCUUAAAACCGUUCUCAGUUCGGACUGCAGGCUGCAACUCGCCUGCACGAAGUCGGAAUCGCUAGUAAUCGCGGAUCAGCAUGCCGCGGUGAAUACGUUCCCGGGCCUUGUACACACCGCCCGUCACACCAUGAGAGUUUGUAACACCCAAAGUCGGUGGGGUAACCUUUUAGGAGCCAGCCGCCUAAGG